GGAGUUGUGGCUUAGAGGUAGAGCACUCACCUGGCAUGUGUGAGGCACUGGGUUCAAUCCUCAGCACCA
This 69-nucleotide transfer RNA is filed under the name Marmota monax (woodchuck). It matches the Rfam family "tRNA". Rfam says of the family: Transfer RNA (tRNA) molecules are approximately 80 nucleotides in length. Their secondary structure includes four short double-helical elements and three loops (D, anti-codon, and T loops). The record is from Rfam by way of RNAcentral. Lineage: Eukaryota; Metazoa; Chordata; Mammalia; Rodentia; Sciuridae.